This 490-nucleotide ribosomal RNA is filed under the name uncultured bacterium. Its description in RNAcentral is "partial 16S ribosomal RNA". It matches the Rfam family "Bacterial small subunit ribosomal RNA", at positions 30 to 507 of the family's 1533-position model. The record is from RNAcentral.
AUUGAACGCUGGCGGCAGGCCUAACACAUGCAAGUCGAACGGUAACAGGAAACAGCUUGCUGUUUCGCUGACGAGUGGCGGACGGGUGAGUAAUGUCUGGGAAACUGCCUGAUGGAGGGGGAUAACUACUGGAAACGGUAGCUGAUACCGCAUAACGUCGCAAGACCAAAGAGGGGGACCCUCGGGCCUCUUGCCAUCGGAUGUGCCCAGAUGGGAUUAGCUUGUUGGUGGGGUAACGGCUCACCAAGGCGACGAUCCCUAGCUGGUCUGAGAGGAUGACCAGCCACACUGGAACUGAGACACGGUCCAGACUCCUACGGGAGGCAGCAGUGGGGAAUAUUGCACAAUGGGCGCAAGCCUGAUGCAGCCAUGCCGCGUGUAUGAAGAAGGCCUUCGGGUUGUAAAGUACUUUCAGCGGGGAGGAAGGGAGUAAAGUUAAUACCUUUGCUCAUUGACGUUACCCGCAGAAGAAGCACCGGCUAACUCCGUG